This 405-nucleotide ribosomal RNA is filed under the name uncultured Anaerolineaceae bacterium. RNAcentral describes it as "bacterial SSU rRNA". It matches the Rfam family "Bacterial small subunit ribosomal RNA", at positions 355 to 776 of the family's 1533-position model. Lineage: Bacteria; Bacillati; Chloroflexota; Anaerolineae; Anaerolineales; Anaerolineaceae. The record is from RNAcentral.
UAGGGAAUAUUGGGCAAUGGGCGAAAGCCUGACCCAGCAACGCCGCGUGUACGAUGAAGGCCUUCGGGUCGUAAAGUACUUUUCUGGGAGAUGAGAAAGGACAGUAUCCCAGGAAUAAGCUUCGGCUAACUACGUGCCAGCAGCCGCGGUAAAACGUAGGAAGCGAGCGUUAUCCGGAUUUACUGGGCGUAAAGCGCGUGUAGGCGGUUUGGCAAGUUGGAUGUGAAAUCUCCUGGCUCAACUGGGAGGGGUCGUUCAAAACUGCCAGACUAGAGGACAGUAGAGGAAGGUGGAAUUCCCGGUGUAGUGGUGAAAUGCGUAGAUAUCGGGAGGAACACCAGUGGCGAAAGCGGCCUUCUGGACUGUAUCUGACGCUCAGACGCGAAAGCUAGGGGAGCGAACGGG